AACGAACGCUGGCGGCGUGUUUAAGACAUGCAAGUCGCACGGGGCAGAUUGAGUAGCAAUACCUGAUUUGUUCAGUGGCGCACGGGUGAGUAACACGUGAAUGACAUGCCCUUGAGAGGGGGAUAGCCCAGGGAAACUUGGAUUAAUACCCCAUGGUCCGGCAACGGUAAAGUGGGGCCGCAAGGCUCCCGCUCAAGGAUUGGUUCGCGUCCUAUCAGCUAGUUGGCGGGGUAACGGCCCACCAAGGCGACGACGGGUACCUGGUCUGAGAGGACGAUCAGGCACACUGGAACUGAGACACGGUCCAGACACCUACGGUGGCAGCAGUCGAGAAUAAUUCACAAUGGGGGCAACCCUGAUGGUGCAACGCCGCGUGGAGGAUGAAGGUCUUCGGAUUGUAGACUCCUGUCAUCCGGGAGCAAGUCCUGGCCGUGAAUAGCGGACAGGGUUGACAGUACCGGAAGAGGAAGGGACGGCUAACUUCGUGCCAGCAGCCGCAGUAA
RNAcentral lists this ribosomal RNA (503 nucleotides) under uncultured bacterium. RNAcentral's name for it is "partial 16S ribosomal RNA". It matches the Rfam family "Bacterial small subunit ribosomal RNA", at positions 29 to 523 of the family's 1533-position model. The record is from RNAcentral.